GGGGUCGUAGCUCAGCUGGUUAGAGCGCGUCCCUGAUAAGGACGAGGUCGGUGGUUCGAAUCCACCCGGCCCCA
This 74-nucleotide transfer RNA is filed under the name Phycisphaerae bacterium. Its description in RNAcentral is "tRNA-Ile". It matches the Rfam family "tRNA". From Rfam's summary of the family: Transfer RNA (tRNA) molecules are approximately 80 nucleotides in length. Their secondary structure includes four short double-helical elements and three loops (D, anti-codon, and T loops). Lineage: Bacteria; Pseudomonadati; Planctomycetota; Phycisphaerae. The record is from RNAcentral.